Molecule: ribosomal RNA, 253 nt
Filed under: uncultured bacterium
Lineage: Bacteria
Description: partial 16S ribosomal RNA
Rfam family: Bacterial small subunit ribosomal RNA
Source: RNAcentral
UACGGGGGGGGUAAGCGUUGUUCGGAAUUACUGGGCGUAAAGGGCUCGUAGGCGGCCAACUAAGUCAGACGUGAAAUCCCUCGGCUUAACCGGGGAACUGCGUCUGAUACUGGAUGGCUAGAGGUUGGGAGAGGGAUGCGGAAUUCCAGGUGUAGCGGUGAAAUGCGUAGAUAUCGGGAGGAACACCAGUAGCGAAGGCGGCUCGCUGGGCCGUUCCUGACGCUGAGACGCGAAAGCUAGGGGAGCGAACAGG